Molecule: ribosomal RNA, 253 nt
Filed under: uncultured bacterium
Lineage: Bacteria
Description: partial 16S ribosomal RNA
Rfam family: Bacterial small subunit ribosomal RNA
Source: RNAcentral
UACGAAGGGGGCGAGCGUUGUUCGGAUUUACUGGGCGUAAAGGGCGCGCAGGCGGCUUAUUUUGUCAGGCGUGAAAGCCCCGGGCUUAACCUGGGAACUGCGUUUGAUACGGAUGGGCUAGAGUUCGGGAGAGGAGAGUGGAAUUCCCAGUGUAGAGGUGAAAUUCGUAGAUAUUCGCAAGAACACCAGUGGCGAAGGCGGCUCACUGGCCCGAUACUGACGCUGAGGCACGAAAGCGUGGGGAGCAAACAGG